UGAAACUAGCAGACACUGAUUAUGUGUUGCCCUUUACAAAAGAGAACUGUACUGCGAAGAUGAAAUAGCAAAUUAGGUAUUUUUGAAUCACAAGAUGCAACGCAAUUCUAAUCCCUUAAAGGACAGCGGUAACUAUGUGUACCACAUUUCUCAACAUUGAAAGCUUUCCAUUUUGUCAGCACAGUGUGCUUAUGUGUGUUGUGUAAUUCCCGGAUUAAACAGAGAUUCUUUCCCCUAACCAGCAUUAACAGAUUUGUCUAUGUAAUAGGGAUAUAUUUGUUUACUGCGAGGUGGGAACUCAAAUGGGUAAGAAUUAUUUAGAUGAAAUUCAAUCUUCAAAUAAAAGUUGGCAGCAAAGAA
Long non-coding RNA from Cryptotermes secundus, 360 nucleotides. RefSeq lists it as uncharacterized. Lineage: Eukaryota; Metazoa; Arthropoda; Insecta; Blattodea; Kalotermitidae. The transcript has 2 exons. The record is from RefSeq and is a predicted model, not a curated record.